UGCAAAACAGACCAUAUUAUCAGCUAAUGUAAGAUUAAUUUCUCUCUUUCUCUUGGAAAAUUAGCCAAAGAAAUGUUAAAUUCUUGUCUGUGUAAUGUGAAUAGAGCAUUUCUCUUUGUACGAAGCAGGUGGACAUGGCUGCUUGUAUCCUUUUGUGCUGUAAUGUACCGGAAUACUCAAGAAAAACAGCAAUUCACGCAUCUUUGCUAUUAAAGAAAAUGCUGCAGAAAAUGUUGAUGUAACUAACUGUCCUACUAGAUUGUUAAUAAGUGGUCCUUGUACAAUAAAUGUAAGGUGAUAUUAAAUAAAAUGAAGAAGAAAUAA
This is a long non-coding RNA of Nematostella vectensis (starlet sea anemone), 324 nucleotides long. RefSeq lists it as uncharacterized. NCBI's taxonomy places the organism in Eukaryota, Metazoa, Cnidaria, Anthozoa, Actiniaria, Edwardsiidae. The record is from RefSeq and is a predicted model, not a curated record. The transcript is spliced from 2 exons.